AGCACAGCAGUGACUAUGGGAAUGGACAACCAUGUUAAUUAGCCAGAACUGUGAUUGUGAGAUUGUGAUUGUGAGAUUUGUGAUAAUCAUUUCGCAGUGCACAGGAGCGUAGGACUCACAACGCACUCCUUAAAUUCGUCCAGUGUCUUCCAGCAAGGUAAACUUCCUUCUCGUUCCCAUUUCGUCCCAGGCCGGACUUAUUCUGGACCCACGUGUCUUGGAGGUUCUGAGUUGCUUUAAGCACAUAUAGUGGAAAAAAUGGAAUUAGCUUUUAGAAUGUUUCAGGUUGUCAAGGAAACAGACAAAAGCUUUCUCACUGAGCCAGGGUUCCAGCUUCUGGACAAACAGGCCUCCCAGCCGUGGCCACGAAGGGGAAUUCUCUGAGGCUCUGCUGGGGUAGCAGUGGGCAGGGAGUGGGGACAGGACAAGGAGGAAUGGGUCUUAGUGCCUUCAAGUCGGAGAUGCUGCUGUCUCAAUUUACGGUUGACACGAUAUUUACAUCCAAGUGAAGAGCACAAUAACCUGGCUGGAAUUUCCAGGCCAGCAUCCCAAAAGAAUAGAGCCCUGCACGUUGUGAAAGCUGCCUUUUAUUUGGAAAGAAGCCUUUGGAGAUGGAUGGAGUAAGAAGGUUCCAGGGGAAGAACACAGCUGUGAAUAUGUCACCGAGAGCGACAGCGGACGGGAGAAGGACCUGGCCGUGCGGUUGCUUUGCCGUGAAGCUAAGCUGGAUGCCUCGUGUUUGUUUCCGCGAGACUGAAGAAUUAGAUUCUAGAGUCCUGCCUGUGGAGUUCUCAGGCGAACAUCUGACUGUGCAACAGAGGAGCAAUGUAGCUGACUCUUGGAAUGGCCGUGUCCUUAUCGUGGUCCUGGUUACUGAAGUCCAUGCAUUGGGGCUACUUCGAUGGUGGCUCCUGGGCAUCCGUGAAACGUCUGAUUCCUCUCAGCUAGGGCCAGGCUACGUGAGGCCCCGGGGCUGACAGCAGAGGGCUCCUUCUGAAGAAACAAUGAGUCUCCUGCCGGGAAGGCAGACUUUGAAGACUCCGCUUCUAUCUGUGGGCUUCUCCCCGGCUUCCCUGAGCGCCAACUGCUCUUUCUCUUCUGUUGCUCGUUUCCCACCAAAGCCCAAGCAGUGUGAAAGAGCGCAUGGUCUGUAUCGGCUACAAAGUAUCUGGACACAAAGCCAGCCCCUCUGUACCCUGCUCAGAAGACCCAUUCCUGCUAUCCGAAGUCUGGCUGAUUUUUCUCUCCACUGUUAAUUCUCGUGCCUAGAUUCGUUCAUGGACACAUUUCCACCCAGGCUACAGGCUGUUUUUGAAGACGACGGAAGUUACUUUUGUCAUCUCCCACAUCACUGAUUCGCUGUCUGGCCUUCUGACAGCUGUGAAAAUAGCCUCAGCAUUGCUCGUCUUCGUAGCUGAAUUUCCAAGAGCACUCGGUUCCCCCGGAGAGGAGACUGCUGCGUGGAUUCUGUAAUUGUGGUCAGUCGGUCAUCGUGUCUCCUUUUGGCCUGUGGCUGGAGAAAUUCAUGCCGGACUUCCUGCUCUCCUUUUGAUUGAGUAAAUGGUGGGUAAAGGGAUUGGACACCCCCUUCCCCUUUGCUAUGUUAAGUUUAAGUGUCCGUGUCCUCCCUAAAACUCAUACUUUGGGCCCGUGGCCUGCAAGGCGAAGGUAUCAGGAGAUGGGGCCCUUGUGGGGUGAUCAGGUCAUGAGGGUGGGUUCCCCUGAGUGGGAUGGGUGCCCCUACAGCAGAGGCCCUGGAGAGCCGCUUUGCCCCGCCCACCACGUGCGGCACGGAGGGAAGGCUCCGGUGCAGGAGCCGGGAAGCAGGCCCCAGGCAGCACAGGAGCUGGCAGCACCAUGGCCUUGCAGUUCCUCUCCAGACUGCGAGGAGGAGGAAAUGUCUGCGAUGCGUAAGCUGCCCAGCCUAGGGCACUCUAGUUAGCACCUGGAACACACUAAACAAUUUGUCUGUAGCCUUAACGCUGUCUGCAUUGUGGGUCAACGCCUCACCCACCUCCGUGCACACACACAUGGCCUGUGGGGAGUGGUCACAGGAAUCUAUCACCCCAAGCCAUUGCUCUGUGGAUGCCUACUUCAGGCAGGCACAUUCACCAAAAUAAUAAUAAUAAUAAAUAAGGCAAGGAAAAGUGUAGCUAGAAGAGAAAGAUUUUGUUUCUUUUUUUUUUAAUUUUUAUUUUUUUUUGACAGGCAGAGUGGACAGUGAGAGAGAGAGACAGAGAGAAAGGUCUUCCUUUGCCGUUGGUUCACCCUCCAAUGGCCGCCACGGUCGGCGCGCUGCGGCCGGCGCACCGCGCUGAUCCGAUGGCAGGA
Molecule: non-coding RNA, 2331 nt
Organism: Oryctolagus cuniculus (rabbit)
Lineage: Eukaryota; Metazoa; Chordata; Mammalia; Lagomorpha; Leporidae
Source: RefSeq, a predicted model, not a curated record